CACGUAGGGCGCAAGCGUUGUCCGGAAUUAUUGGGCGUAAAGAGCGUGUAGGCGGCCCGAUUAGUCCGCUGUGAAAGUUCAGGGCUCAACCCUGGAAUGCCGGUGGAUACUGUCGGGCUAGAGUCCGGAAGGGGCGAGUGGAAUUCCUGGUGUAGCGGUGAAAUGCGCAGAUAUCAGGAGGAACACCAAUGGCGAAGGCAGCUCGCUGGGACGUGACUGACGCUGAGACGCGAAAGCGUGGGGAGCGAACAGG
RNAcentral lists this ribosomal RNA (253 nucleotides) under uncultured bacterium. RNAcentral describes it as "partial 16S ribosomal RNA". It matches the Rfam family "Bacterial small subunit ribosomal RNA", at positions 524 to 776 of the family's 1533-position model. The record is from RNAcentral.